CUGGCUCAGGAUGAACGCUAGCGGCAGGCUAACACAUGCAAGUCGAGGGGCAACGCGAGUAGCAAUACUUGGCGGCGACCGGCGCAAGGGUGCGUAACGCGUGAGCAACAUGCCCGUAUCAGGGGGAUAAUCCAGGGAAACUUGGUCUAAUACCCCAUAGUAAUUUUGUAAGGCAUCUUAUAAGAUUUAAAGCUUUGGUGGAUACGGAUUGGCUCGCGUGACAUUAGCUGGAUGGUAAGGUAACGGCUUACCAUGGCUAUGAUGUCUAGGGGUUCUGAGAGGAAGGUCCCCCACACUGGAACUGAGACACGGUCCAGACUCCUACGGGAGGCAGCAGUGAGGAAUAUUGGACAAUGGAUGGAAAUCUGAUCCAGCCAUGCCGCCGUGAAGGAAGAAGGUCCUAUGGAUUGUAAACUUCUUUUGUAUGGGAGCAAUAAGGCCUACGAGUAGGUUGAUGAGAGUACCAUACGAAUAAGCACCGGCUAACUCCGUGCCAGCCGCCGC
RNAcentral lists this ribosomal RNA (504 nucleotides) under uncultured bacterium. RNAcentral describes it as "bacterial SSU rRNA". It matches the Rfam family "Bacterial small subunit ribosomal RNA", at positions 19 to 518 of the family's 1533-position model. The record is from RNAcentral.